UACGUCAACAUCCUUAACGAAUUUGCUCACACUCUAGCCUGUUCGAAGGCGGUCCCUAACGACGUCAGCAAGCUGUCGCCGCCAGGGUGCCAACGAGAGGCCAGAUGGAACAGCCCUAAAGGUAUUCGUUGCAAUCCUCAAUCCCAAACACCACAUUCCGCCAAAGGUUAUAACACUCCCGAAGGAGCCACAUCCCUCCAGCCUUUUUAUGAUGUGAGAAAUUGACGUUAACCAGCCGACACAAAAGUGCACCAGACCGUUAAGUGGUCGCGAGCCGCGGCGGUUUUGAGGCUCGCCACGGCAGUGAUCGCUCAGCGGGCGGGUUGAUUUCGCGCCAGCACGACUGACUUCAAGCGUUUCCCUUUCAACAAUUUCACGUACUAUUUAACUCUCUUUUCAAAGUUCUUUUCAUCUUUCCCUCACGGUACUUGUUCGCUAUCGGUCUCUCGCCAAUAUUUAGCCUUAGGAGAAAUUUACCUCCCAUUUUGAGCUGCAAUCCCAAACAACUUGACUCUUUGAAAGCGUAUCGUAAAGCGAAUCUGAUCAACCGAACGGGAUUCUCACCCUCCGUGAUGCCUUAUCCCAAAGGACUUGGACUGAUCAGAAACACAGAAGACGCCUCUUCAAAUUACAACUCGGUCAGGUAGAACCCGACAGAUUUAAAAUUUGAGCUUGUCCCUCUUCACUCGCAGUUACUAGGGGAAUCAUUGUUAUUUUCUUUUCCUCCGCUUAUUGAUAUCG
RNAcentral lists this ribosomal RNA (741 nucleotides) under uncultured Glomus. RNAcentral's name for it is "partial 28S ribosomal RNA". The record is from RNAcentral. Lineage: Eukaryota; Fungi; Glomeromycota; Glomeromycetes; Glomerales; Glomeraceae.